GUGCUCGCUUCGGCACAUACUAAAAUUGGAAAGAUACAGAGAAGAUUAGCAUGGUCCCUGCACAAGGAUGACAUGCAAAUUCGUGAAGCGUUCCAUAUUAAA
Echinops telfairi (small Madagascar hedgehog) is the source of this 102-nucleotide small nuclear RNA. The record is from Ensembl. Lineage: Eukaryota; Metazoa; Chordata; Mammalia; Afrosoricida; Tenrecidae.